This 74-nucleotide transfer RNA is filed under the name Candidatus Iainarchaeum sp. Its description in RNAcentral is "tRNA-Pro". It matches the Rfam family "tRNA". From Rfam's summary of the family: Transfer RNA (tRNA) molecules are approximately 80 nucleotides in length. The record is from RNAcentral. Lineage: Archaea; Nanobdellati; Candidatus Iainarchaeota; Candidatus Iainarchaeia; Candidatus Iainarchaeales; Candidatus Iainarchaeaceae.
GGGGUUGUAGUCUAGUCUGGUUAGGACUCUACCUUGGGGUGGUAGCAACCGGAGUUCAAAUCUCCGCAACCCCA